GGGCGCGUAGCUCAGUGGCAGUAGCGCUCGCUUUGCAUUUCAUGCCUGCGAGAGGUCGUGAGUUCAACCCUCACCCCGUCCA
This is a transfer RNA of Calocera cornea HHB12733, 82 nucleotides long. It matches the Rfam family "tRNA". Rfam says of the family: Transfer RNA (tRNA) molecules are approximately 80 nucleotides in length. Their secondary structure includes four short double-helical elements and three loops (D, anti-codon, and T loops). Further hydrogen bonds mediate the characteristic L-shaped molecular structure. tRNAs have two regions of fundamental functional importance: the anti-codon, which is responsible for specific mRNA codon recognition, and the 3' end, to which the tRNAs corresponding amino acid is attached (by aminoacyl-tRNA synthetases). tRNAs cope with the degeneracy of the genetic code in two manners: having more than one tRNA (with a specific anti-codon) for a particular amino acid; and 'wobble' base-pairing, i.e. permitting non-standard base-pairing at the 3rd anti-codon position. The record is from Rfam. NCBI's taxonomy places the organism in Eukaryota, Fungi, Basidiomycota, Dacrymycetes, Dacrymycetales, Dacrymycetaceae.